RNAcentral lists this ribosomal RNA (253 nucleotides) under uncultured bacterium. RNAcentral describes it as "partial 16S ribosomal RNA". It matches the Rfam family "Bacterial small subunit ribosomal RNA", at positions 524 to 776 of the family's 1533-position model. The record is from RNAcentral.
UACGUAGGGGGCUAGCGUUGUCCGGAUUUAUUGGGCGUAAAGAGCGUGUAGGCGGCCAGGUAUGUCUGCUGUGAAAACUCGAGGCUUAACCUCGAGAUGUCGGUGGAAACCAUCUGGCUAGAGUCCGGAAGAGGAGAGUGGAAUUCCUGGUGUAGCAGUGAAAUGCGCAGAUAUCAGGAGGAACACCAAUAGCGAAGGCAGCGCGCUGGGACGGUACUGACGCUGAGGCGCGAAAGCGUGGGGAGCGAACAGG